Molecule: ribosomal RNA, 835 nt
Filed under: uncultured archaeon
Lineage: Archaea
Description: bacterial SSU rRNA
Rfam family: Archaeal small subunit ribosomal RNA
Source: RNAcentral
GGUUACUGCUAUCGGUGUUCGUCUAAGCCAUGCGAGUCAUAUGUAGCAAUACAUGGCGUACUGCUCAGUAACACGUGGAUAACCUGCCCUUGGGUCCGGCAUAACCCCGGGAAACUGGGGAUAAUUCCGGAUAACGCACAUAUGCUGGAAUGCUUUAUGCGUGAAAUGGAUUCGUCUGCCCAAGGAUGGGUCUGCGGCCUAUCAGGUAGUAGUGGGUGUAAUGUACCUACUAGCCUACGACGGGUACGGGUUGUGAGAGCAAGAGCCCGGAGAUGGAUUCUGAGACAUGAAUCCAGGCCCUACGGGGCGCAGCAGGCGCGAAAACUUUACAAUGCGGGAAACCGUGAUAAGGGGACACCGAGUGCCAGCAUCCUAUGCUGGCUGUCCAGGUGUGUAAACUACACCUGUUAGCAAGGGCCGGGCAAAACCGGUGCCAGCCGCCGCGGUAACACCGGCGGCCCGAGUGGUGAUCGUGAUUAUUGGGUCUAAAGGGUCCGUAGCCGGUUUGGUCAGUCCUCCGGGAAAUCUGACAGCUUAACUGUUAGGCUUUCGGAGGAUACUGCCAGACUUGGAACCGGGAGAGGUAAGAGGUACUACAGGGGUAGGAGUGAAAUCUUGUAAUCCCUGUGGGACCACCUGUGGCGAAGGCGUCUUACCAGAACGGGUUCGGCGGUGAGGGACGAAAGCUGGGGGCACGAACCGGAUUAGAUACCCGGGUAGUCCCAGCCGUAAACGAUGCUCGCUAGGUGUCAGGCAUGGCGCGACCGUGUCUGGUGCCGCAGGGAAGCCGUGAAGCGAGCCACCUGGGAAGUACGGCCGCAAGGCUGAAACUUAA